CCUGGUAACAUAGCAAAGCUAAUAAUGUUAACUGGUUCUACCUGCAAUGAGAAAAAAGGACUAGCUCAGGCCCAAAGUUCGGUGAAUUGCCUGCACUAGACUAGGAAAGGCUCCACCCCUUAUCUGUACGAUGAAUUCAUUGUUAUACAUAUAAAUUAUUGCAUUGGCCUUGGACGAGACCCAUUAACGCACUCAGCCCCUCUCCAUCUUCUAUAUAUAUGUGGUUUCAUUUCAUUCCAAGGUACGUUCAUUCUAACCCGAACCAAACCCCCUCUCCCGUCUCUUGCACUUUUUAUUUUCUUUCUCCGACCGUUGACUUGAUCAUCGGAGUGCAAACGUUCGUCGAACCCUUUUCUCGACUGGAGGCCUUUGCUUCCUAACGAGGUGCUUUGUGUGCAGGUGAUGAGGGGACGAGAUCUUGGUGUAUUUUUUGAAAUCAACAUUCAUCUUCCUCUCAUUCCUUUCCAAAAGAUACCAACAGUUAGCACAUCAGCAACAUUCCUCCAGAACUUGAAAAGGCAAAUACAUUCCAACAUUAUUUUCUAUCUUAUUAAAAUAUAUUUGGUGCAACAAUAUUGUAUACAAACAUCUUAUUCCUUGAUAUGUUGCAUACUUUUCAUUUUUUUAAUCCUAGUUACCGUACACUUGGACGGAUUCAAAACGAGAUCAUAUAUUCAGCUUAUCAAUCAAGGUCGACAAUGAUAUGCGCAAGUUGCAAGCAUCUUUUCCAAGUCCCGGCCACAAAAUUUCGCUUUCACAAAGUCCGUGUCAAUUUUGAUUACUUGAUCCGCAGCAGAAAAAGGUCUUUGGUCUCAAG
Molecule: long non-coding RNA, 817 nt
Filed under: Olea europaea subsp. europaea
Lineage: Eukaryota; Viridiplantae; Streptophyta; Magnoliopsida; Lamiales; Oleaceae
Source: RNAcentral